Molecule: unclassified non-coding RNA, 102 nt
Organism: Microcebus murinus (gray mouse lemur)
Lineage: Eukaryota; Metazoa; Chordata; Mammalia; Primates; Cheirogaleidae
Rfam family: Y RNA
About the family: Y RNAs are components of the Ro ribonucleoprotein particle (Ro RNP), in association with Ro60 and La proteins.
Source: Ensembl
GGCUGGCCUGAGUGCAGUGGUGUUUACAACUAAUUGAUCACAACCAGUUACAGAUUCCUUUGUUCCUUCUCCACUCCCACUGCUUCACUUGACCAGCGUGAA